This 1452-nucleotide ribosomal RNA is filed under the name Triticum aestivum (bread wheat). RNAcentral describes it as "partial small subunit ribosomal RNA". The record is from RNAcentral. Lineage: Eukaryota; Viridiplantae; Streptophyta; Magnoliopsida; Poales; Poaceae.
AUGAGGGCCAUCGCCUGGAACUGCCGAGGUAUGGGCAGAAGCCUUGGUAGUGAGAGGAUGCUCUAUCUUGCCAACUUGAUGCGGUCUACGAAGACACAGGUAACAUUUGUUUCAGAAAUCAAGUCUUCCAAAGUCCAUUCUGUCGAUCUUGUUAAUAGGUUUGAUGUUGCCAACGGCUUUGUUGUUCCUUCUAGAGGUGCCUCAGGUGGCCUUUGGCUUAUGUGGACCGAUGAGCUCAAAGUUUCUGUGCAUGCUGCUGCUUUUCACUAUAUUUUAGCAAAUGUAGUUCAUGCAGCUUCAGGGGUCAACUUUUGUCUUAUUUGUAUAUAUGGCAACCCGUAUCACAGGCAGACUAAUGCCAUCUGGGACCAAGUUGCUGAUUUUGUCUAUGAUAACCUAGGAAAGCCCAUGGUUUGUAUGGGGGACCUUAAUGAUAUCCUUUAUGAUGUGGAUGCGUGUGAUGGUAAUAUUAACUUCUAUCAUAUGAAUGCUUUCAGGUCUCUUGUUAAAAAUUGUGGGCUGUUUGAUAUUGGUUAUAGUGGUCCUUCUUAUACUUGGCGUGGUAGGCAACAUACUUCUAAGCCCAUUCAUAGACGUCUUGAUCGAUGCUUGGUCAAUUCUGAUUGGUGCGCUUUUUAUCCUAAUACUAAAGUGCUGAAUCUUCCUAUUAUUCUUGGUGACCAUGCUCCCAUUUUAAUUUCCUCGGAAGGUAAACUUGUUAGGCCUAGACAAUCUUUUAAAUUUGAAAAUUGGUGGCUUAUGGAAAUUUUUUUUCACUCUUUUGCUAAAAAUAAUUGGAUUUCUAGUUCCCUGACCUCUUUUCCUGCAAAGUCAUCUUGUUUGGCAGGAUCUUUAAAAGUCUGGUGCAAGAAGAAAAAACCUCUCCAACAAGAACUUGCUGAGCUAGAAUCCAGAAUCAAGGAUUUGCAACAGCUGCCUCUCCACCAACAGGACCAUGUUUUGGAAAGUACUCUUACUAAUAGGCCUUUUUCUUCCCCUAUUUGGACUAAUGACAACAAUGAUCCUACUUAUUCUAUUCCGGACAAGACUGAACUUUUGCGGAUUCUUAAAGACAUGAAGCUUAAUGCUUCUCCUGGUCCUGAUGGGUUCAAUGUAGAAUUUUAUUUAGCUACUUGGGAUUGGAUUGGAGAUGAGGUAACUCAGCUUGUCACUCACUUCUAUAAUACUGCUACACUUCCCCCUCACAUCAAUGAUACCAAUAUUGCUCUUAUCCCUAAGAAGUUGGUUCCUCUUGUGCCCAUGGACUACCGUCCUAUUAGUCUUUGUAAUGUGCUUUAUAAAAUCAUUGCUAAGUCUCUUGCGAAUAGACUUAAGCAUCAUCUUCCUGAUUACAUUGACCAAGCUCAACAAGCAUUUAUUGAGGGUAGACGUAUUAGUGACAACGUUAUCAUUGCUCAGGAAAUUGCUCACUCGUUUUCUCUUAAAUCCUGA